UCAGCUCCUGGGGAAGGAUGAGGGGCUGGCCACCCAGGCACGGCGACCACAGGGCACUCCUCGCCACCUCCUCAGAUUUCAACACUUUCCUGGAAAACGAACUGAAAAAGAAAAAGACAAGGCAUUUCUCCUACUUCCUUUAAAGAAUUCACUUCAGAAUGAAUUCCACAUAAGCAGUACCUGACAGCCUGAUAGAAAGGGGCCAGUCUUCACUAGAGGGCACAAUCCUACAUUUUGCAAAAAGAGACAAAUCAUGGUGGCUUUUCAGUCCCUCACUCAACCUAUAUUUAAGGAAUUCACUGUUUUGAAGGGUGAAUAAACAUACAAGCCAACAUCCAGCAUGAGGAAGGAUCUGGAAGACCCAUCAUCUGUCAGCCUGCUCAUUUCUCACCCCAGGGCAUAGGAGGGAGCGCCCAACCCUGCCUGGCCCUUCGUGGUACCUUGGAAUCCAGCACUACACCUAUGUACUGAGCAGAACCAAUCAUAAUCCUUUCCCAAGACUGAUGUCAGA
Molecule: long non-coding RNA, 511 nt
Organism: Prionailurus viverrinus (fishing cat)
Lineage: Eukaryota; Metazoa; Chordata; Mammalia; Carnivora; Felidae
Exons: 3
Source: RefSeq, a predicted model, not a curated record